This 1264-nucleotide ribosomal RNA is filed under the name metagenome. RNAcentral describes it as "SSU rRNA". It matches the Rfam family "Eukaryotic small subunit ribosomal RNA", at positions 558 to 1790 of the family's 1831-position model. The record is from RNAcentral.
AGUCUGGUGCCAGCAGCCACGGUAAUUCCAGCUCCAAUAGCGUAUAUUCGAUUUGCUGCAGUUGAAAAGCUCGUAGUCGAACUUUGGGCUUGGCCGGAGGGUCCGCUGCUUCGGCAGCGCGUACUGUCUAUGCCAGCUGCGCCUCUCUUUCGGGGGAGGUGCAGUGGCCGAGCCUUUCCUCCUGCAUGGCGGUGCCUGGCGGGUGGUCCUUCGGGGCCGCCGGCUGGCACAGCGGCAGGACGUUUACCUUGAAAAAAUUAGAGUGUUCAAAGCAGGCGCACGCUUGCAUAGAUUAGCAUGGAAUAAUGGAAUAGGACCAGUGGUUCUGUUUUGUUGGUCUUUGUUGGAACCGCGGUAAUGAUUAAUAGGGACAGCUGGGGGCAUUUGUAUCUCGCAGCUAGAGGUGAAAUUCUUGGAUUUGCGAGCGGCAAACCUAUGCGAAAGCAUUUGCCAAGGAUGUUUUCAUUGAUCAAGAACGAAAGUUAGGGGAUCGAAGACGAUUAGAUACCGUCGUAGUCUUAACCAUAAACGAUGCCGACUAGGGAUUGGGCGAUGUUGCUUAUUGACUCGCUCAGCACCUUCAGAGAAAUCAAAGUGUUUGGGUUUUGGGGGAAGUAUGGUCGCAAGGCUGAAACUUAAAGGAAUUGACGGAAGGGCACCACCAGGAGUGGAGCCUGCGGCUUAAAUCGACAACACGGGAAAACUCACCAGGUCCAGACAAAGGUUGGAUUGACAGAUUGAAAGCUCUUUCUUGAUUCUUUGGGUGGUGGUGCAUGGCCGUUCUUAGUUGGUGGAGUGAUUUGUCUGCUUAAUUGCGAUAACGAACGAGACCUUAACCUGCUAACUAGUGACACCAACCUUUGUGUUGGUGGCCACUUCUUAGAGGGACUGUCGGCGUUUAGCCGACGGAAGUUUGAGGCAAUAACAGGUCUGUGAUGCCCUUAGAUGUCCUGGGCCGCACGCGCGCUACACUGACAAAGCCAGCGAGUCUACAACCUUGGCCGGAAGGUCCGGGUAAUCUUGUUAAACUUUGUCGUGCUGGGGAUAGUCCAUUGCAAUUAUUGGACUUGAACGAGGAAUUCCUAGUAAGUACGGGUCAUCAGCCCGUGCUGACUUCGUCCCUGCCCUUUGUACACACCGCCCGUCGCUACUACCGAUUGAAUGGCUUAGUGAGACCUUUGGAUUGGCGUGCCUUGGCUGCUGGCAACGGCGGCUGGCCGCUGAAAAGUUGGUCAAACUUGGUCAUUUAGAGGAAGUAAAAGUC